This 253-nucleotide ribosomal RNA is filed under the name uncultured bacterium. RNAcentral describes it as "partial 16S ribosomal RNA". It matches the Rfam family "Bacterial small subunit ribosomal RNA", at positions 524 to 776 of the family's 1533-position model. The record is from RNAcentral.
GACAGAGGGUGCAAACGUUGUUCGGAAUUACUGGGCAUAAAGGGCACGUAGGUGGUUCGCUAAGUUACGUGUGAAAUCCCCCGGCUCAACCGGGGAAUUGCGCGUGAUACUGGCGGACUCGAGGCGGGUAGGGGUGAGCGGAACUCCAGGUGGAGCGGUGAAAUGCGUAGAUAUCUGGAGGAACACCAGUGGCGAAAGCGGACUUCUGGGUUGUUACUGACGCUGAGGUACGAAAGCGUGGGGAGCAAACGGG